This 166-nucleotide antisense RNA is filed under the name Aliivibrio fischeri ES114. RNAcentral's name for it is "Vibrio fischeri ES114 sok antitoxin (CssrC)". It matches the Rfam family "sok antitoxin (CssrC)". Rfam says of the family: Also identified in Shigella as CssrC. Lineage: Bacteria; Pseudomonadati; Pseudomonadota; Gammaproteobacteria; Vibrionales; Vibrionaceae. The record is from Rfam by way of RNAcentral.
GGGUGCUUUUGGUUAUCAAUCGAAAGCAUGACACAAGUUUUGCAGACGGUAGAUAAACAAAAACCCCGAAAGUAAAUUUUCAUUAACUAACGAGGUUUAAGUGAUGUACCCAACAAUGCAAAUCUUAGCCUCUAUUUUGAUAAGAGGCAAGUAAAAUGCUGAAAAA